This 1339-nucleotide ribosomal RNA is filed under the name Lactiplantibacillus plantarum. RNAcentral's name for it is "bacterial SSU rRNA". The record is from RNAcentral. Lineage: Bacteria; Bacillati; Bacillota; Bacilli; Lactobacillales; Lactobacillaceae.
GCUAUACAUGCAGUCGAACGAACUCUGGUAUUGAUUGGUGCUUGCAUCAUGAUUUACAUUUGAGUGAGUGGCGAACUGGUGAGUAACACGUGGGAAACCUGCCCAGAAGCGGGGGAUAACACCUGGAAACAGAUGCUAAUACCGCAUAACAACUUGGACCGCAUGGUCCGAGUUUGAAAGAUGGCUUCGGCUAUCACUUUUGGAUGGUCCCGCGGCGUAUUAGCUAGAUGGUGGGGUAACGGCUCACCAUGGCAAUGAUACGUAGCCGACCUGAGAGGGUAAUCGGCCACAUUGGGACUGAGACACGGCCCAAACUCCUACGGGAGGCAGCAGUAGGGAAUCUUCCACAAUGGACGAAAGUCUGAUGGAGCAACGCCGCGUGAGUGAAGAAGGGUUUCGGCUCGUAAAACUCUGUUGUUAAAGAAGAACAUAUCUGAGAGUAACUGUUCAGGUAUUGACGGUAUUUAACCAGAAAGCCACGGCUAACUACGUGCCAGCAGCCGCGGUAAUACGUAGGUGGCAAGCGUUGUCCGGAUUUAUUGGGCGUAAAGCGAGCGCAGGCGGUUUUUUAAGUCUGAUGUGAAAGCCUUCGGCUCAACCGAAGAAGUGCAUCGGAAACUGGGAAACUUGAGUGCAGAAGAGGACAGUGGAACUCCAUGUGUAGCGGUGAAAUGCGUAGAUAUAUGGAVAGAACACCAGUGGCGAAGGCGGCUGUCUGGUCUGUAACUGACGCUGAGGCUCGAAAGUAUGGGUAGCAAACAGGAUUAGAUACCCUGGUAGUCCAUACCGUAAACGAUGAAUGCUAAGUGUUGGAGGGUUUCCGCCCUUCAGUGCUGCAGCUAACGCAUUAAGCAUUCCGCCUGGGGAGUACGGCCGCAAGGCUGAAACUCAAAGGAAUUGACGGGGGCCCGCACAAGCGGUGGAGCAUGUGGUUUAAUUCGAAGCUACGCGAAGAACCUUACCAGGUCUUGACAUACUAUGCAAAUCUAAGAGAUUAGACGUUCCCUUCGGGGACAUGGAUACAGGUGGUGCAUGGUUGUCGUCAGCUCGUGUCGUGAGAUGUUGGGUUAAGUCCCGCAACGAGCGCAACCCUUAUUAUCAGUUGCCAGCAUUAAGUUGGGCACUCUGGUGAGACUGCCGGUGACAAACCGGAGGAAGGUGGGGAUGACGUCAAAUCAUCAUGCCCCUUAUGACCUGGGCUACACACGUGCUACAAUGGAUGGUACAACGAGUUGCGAACUCGCGAGAGUAAGCUAAUCUCUUAAAGCCAUUCUCAGUUCGGAUUGUAGGCUGCAACUCGCCUACAUGAAGUCGGAAUCGCUAGUAAUCGCGGAUCAGC